GCAGUUUCACCAUCUGGCAUGUCGUGCCUGCCUGCCUCGAGGCAGCUCAGGCUGCAGUGAAAUCCUGGUGAGGGACACUCUCCUGGGGCACAUUGGUAAAGUUGGUGUAGUGACUCACCACUGGCUGUGUGAAAAAAAUAUGGAGAACGCUAAAUUGAAACCACCCAUGUAUGCGACGACAGAGAGCGAGGGCUGUCUGGUGGCAUCGAAUCUGGUCGUGUGUGUACUUGUGCGUGCGAUAGGGAUAAUUUGGGUAAUUCGUGUCCUAAGAGAAUCUUAGAAAAUUUCGUUCUACUUCGAUGCAAGCCCCAGUCGGAUUCCCCUGAAGCUCCCCCUUGAUCCUGGCAUUUGGGUGGGGGGUGGAGCCCAGUGAGCUUUUUGGCUGUAGAGAGUCACUUGUCUCCCUGUGACAGUCUGAUAAGAGGCUGGCAGAGCCACUGCCUUCAUCCCCAAACCCCUCAGCUUUCGGACCUGCAUUUCUAAAGGAAUACGCUCAACAGCCAGGUGUAGUGUGUAGCCUGUAGUGUGAGCCCUUGGGUAGUAGACGCAGAUGGACCAGGAGUUCAAGGCCAGUCUUGUCUAUUCAUUGAGUUCAGCAUGGGUGACAUGAGACCCAGUCUCAAAAAAAAAAAAAAAAA
RNAcentral lists this long non-coding RNA (638 nucleotides) under Rattus norvegicus (Norway rat). Its description in RNAcentral is "long non-coding RNA NONRATT002392". The record is from RNAcentral. Lineage: Eukaryota; Metazoa; Chordata; Mammalia; Rodentia; Muridae.